UAGUGGCGAACGGGUGAGUAACACGUGGGCAAUCUGCCCUUCACUCUGGGACAAGCCCUGGAAACGGGGUCUAAUACCGGAUAACACCUGCCCGGGCAUCCGGGUGGGUUAAAAGCUCCGGCGGUGAAGGAUGAGCCCGCGGCCUAUCAGCUUGUUGGUGAGGUAGUGGCUCACCAAGGCGACGACGGGUAGCCGGCCUGAGAGGGCGACCGGCCACACUGGGACUGAGACACGGCCCAGACUCCUACGGGAGGCAGCAGUGGGGAAUAUUGCACAAUGGGCGAAAGCCUGAUGCAGCGACGCCGCGUGAGGGAUGACGGCCUUCGGGUUGUAAACCUCUUUCAGCAGGGAAGAAGCGAAAGUGACGGUACCUGCAGAAGAAGCGCCGGCUAACUACGUGCCAGCAGCCGCGGUAAUACGUAGGGCGCAAGCGUUGUCCGGAAUUAUUGGGCGUAAAGAGCUCGUAGGCGGCUUGUCACGUCGGGUGUGAAAGCCCGGGGCUUAACCCCGGGUCUGCAUUCGAU
RNAcentral lists this ribosomal RNA (524 nucleotides) under Streptomyces sp. 306D02. Its description in RNAcentral is "bacterial SSU rRNA". It matches the Rfam family "Bacterial small subunit ribosomal RNA", at positions 93 to 631 of the family's 1533-position model. Lineage: Bacteria; Bacillati; Actinomycetota; Actinomycetes; Kitasatosporales; Streptomycetaceae. The record is from RNAcentral.